Molecule: ribosomal RNA, 498 nt
Filed under: uncultured bacterium
Lineage: Bacteria
Description: partial 16S ribosomal RNA
Rfam family: Bacterial small subunit ribosomal RNA
Source: RNAcentral
AUUGAACGCUGGCGGAAUGCUUUACACAUGCAUGUCGAGCGGCAGCGCGGGGCAACCUGGCGGCGAGCGGCGAACGGGUGAGUAACAUAUCGGAACGUGCCCAUUGGUGGGGGAUAACACAUCGAAAGAUGUGCUAAUACCGCAUAAGACCUGAGGGUGAAAGGGGGGGAUCGCAAGACCUCUCGCCGUUGGAGCGGCCGAUAUCGGAUUAGCUAGUUGGUGGGGUAAAGGCUCACCAAGGCGACGAUCCGUAGCUGGUCUGAGAGGAUGAUCAGCCACACUGGAACUGAGACACGGUCCAGACUCCUACGGGAGGCAGCAGUGGGGAAUUUUGGACAAUGGGGGCAACCCUGAUCCAGCCAUUCCGCGUGAGUGAAGAAGGCCUUCGGGUUGUAAAGCUCUUUCGGCAGGAACGAAACGGUUUGGGCUAAUACCCUGAGCUAAUGACGGUACCUGAAGAAGAAGCACCGGCUAACUACGUGCCAGCCGCCGCAGUAA